This 255-nucleotide ribosomal RNA is filed under the name uncultured bacterium. Its description in RNAcentral is "partial 16S ribosomal RNA". It matches the Rfam family "Bacterial small subunit ribosomal RNA", at positions 99 to 354 of the family's 1533-position model. The record is from RNAcentral.
CGGACGGGUGAGUAACGCGUGGGUAACCUGCCCUGUACAGGGGGAUAACAGUUGGAAACGGCUGCUAAAACCGCAUAACAUGGAGAUACCGCAUGAUAUUUCCAUCAAAUAUUUAUAGGUACAGGAUGGGCCCGCGUCUGAUUAGCCAGUUGGCAGGGUAAUGGCCUACCAAAGCGACGAUCAGUAGCCGGCUUGAGAGAGUGACCGGCCACAUUGGGACUGAGACACGGCCCAGACUCCUACGGGAGGCAGCAG